Non-coding RNA from Pogona vitticeps (central bearded dragon), 1093 nucleotides. The record is from RefSeq and is a predicted model, not a curated record. NCBI's taxonomy places the organism in Eukaryota, Metazoa, Chordata, Lepidosauria, Squamata, Agamidae.
AAGGUUUGUAGAUAUUUUGUGUAAGCAUACAGUUGGACCAGAGACCGCUGACUCCCAGCAUGCAUAUGGUCAUGACAGCCUAACACAGUAACUCAGCAUCUCCAUAGCAACCAGCCAGAAGCAGAUGAAAAGGCCCAUCCAGGGUUCGGCCUUAAAAGCUGAGAGAAUCAGAUAGUCGGGAAUCCUACACCCAGACCAUUGGGCCAAUAAUAUGUAGAAGCUGUUGCCUAGCCUACAACUUUGUCAUCAAGAGUGCUGGAACUGUACUAAUUCCUGGAUGGCUGAGACUUACAUCUUUCUGUGGUGCCUCGCCAUGUCUUCAAGUCACUCCCGGGGAGGUCCAUCUCCUCCUGGACCACCAGAUGUUCCUCCUGUGCCAAAGCCUGAUCAUCCCUUGGUUCCAGUUCCAGAGAAGCCUUGGCCUGAGGGACCUCCCAAACCUGAAGGCCCUCAACCACUGGGGCCCCUUAUGCCUGGAAAGCCUUGGCCAAAAGGCCCCCCUGCAUCUCCAGAUACUAGGCAACCAAGAUCUCCUCAGCCACCAGCACCUUUAGGACCUACUAGUCCAGGACCAUUUCCAGGACCAUCCAGUCCUCCAAAGCCACCCCUGCCUGAUGAUCCUUAUUUACCUUUUCCUCUGCUGCCCAUUGCACCUUGGCCACCAAUUCCUGAAUGGGACGAUUCAGAGAAACCUCCAGAAAAGCCUUCUACAGAGGAUUAACUUAUCUUCCAACAUGUUUUUCAAGCAAAUCUCUGUCUGAUACAGAACAAUACAGUAUUGUACUUUCUCCCAAAUGUAGGUAUUCCUAAAGACAUCCGAUGUCCGCAAAGGUUAUUUUGAUGCAGAAUAGUCUCUAGUGGAAAUCUUUCCAGAGUAGUUUUUGAACAUUGAGCAGAAGAAAGAAGACAAUGUAGUCACUCGAUACUUAUUACUGGUUAAGGAAACAACUCCAAAACUGGGCAGAUUCUACUUACCUGUGAGCUAAUUAACAUGUCCCGGAGCAGCGCUAAUUAACCUACUCAUUCAGUAAUAUUGCGCUUUGACUUGCGCUUGUCAUCACUGAUUUCUCUCUUUCUUUUUUGUUUAAUCCAG